Molecule: transfer RNA, 75 nt
Filed under: Sulfurovum indicum
Lineage: Bacteria; Pseudomonadati; Campylobacterota; Epsilonproteobacteria; Campylobacterales; Sulfurovaceae
Also listed under: 2 other names
Description: Sulfurovum sp. ST-419 tRNA-Gly
Rfam family: tRNA
About the family: Transfer RNA (tRNA) molecules are approximately 80 nucleotides in length. Their secondary structure includes four short double-helical elements and three loops (D, anti-codon, and T loops).
Source: RNAcentral
GCGGGCGUAGCUCAGGGGUAGAGCAUCACCUUGCCAAGGUGGGGGCCGAGGGUUCGAAUCCCUUCGCCCGCUCCA